UACGGAGGGGGCUAGCGUUGUUCGGAAUUAUUGGGCGUAAAGAGCUCGUAGGCGGCUUGUCACGUCGGGUGUGAAAGCCCGGGGCUUAACCCCGGGUCUGCAUUCGAUACGGGCUAGCUAGAGUGUGGUAGGGGAGAUCGGAAUUCCUGGUGUAGCGGUGAAAUGCGCAGAUAUCAGGAGGAACACCGGUGGCGAAGGCGGAUCUCUGGGCCAUUACUGACGCUGAGGAGCGAAAGCGUGGGGAGCGAACAGG
RNAcentral lists this ribosomal RNA (253 nucleotides) under uncultured bacterium. RNAcentral describes it as "partial 16S ribosomal RNA". It matches the Rfam family "Bacterial small subunit ribosomal RNA", at positions 524 to 776 of the family's 1533-position model. The record is from RNAcentral.